This is a small nuclear RNA of Camelus dromedarius (Arabian camel), 106 nucleotides long. Lineage: Eukaryota; Metazoa; Chordata; Mammalia; Artiodactyla; Camelidae. The record is from Ensembl.
GUAAUACUUUGGUAACACCUAUGCUAAGAUUGGAAUGAUAUAGAGAAGAUUAGCAUGGCCUCUGCACAAGGACGACACACAAAUUUGUGAAGCAUUCCAUAUUCUU